AUGGCCGACAACCUGAUCAAGCCCGUGGCUUUGCUGCUGCUGCUCCUGAACCUGUGCAUGUACGUCAUCCUGGCCAUCAUCGGCGGCUGGGCUCUGAACGUGGCCAUCGACCGCGGCUUCAUCAUCGGCCCGGAGCUGCGGCUUCCCGCGCAUUUCCACCCUAUCUUCUUCCCCAUCGGCAACUUCGCCACCGGCUUCUUCGUCCUCUUCUCCCUCAUAGCGGGCGUCGUCGGGAUCGCCUCCGCCAUGGUGGGCUUCAACCACCUCCGCUUCUGGAACUACGAAAGCCAGCAGCCCGCGGCGGCGUUGGGGAUUGUGGCGUGGGCGCUCACAGUCCUAGCCAUGGGCCUAGCUUGUCAGGAAAUCUCUUUCGACCGAAGAAACGCCAAGCUGGGCACCAUGGAGACCUUCACCAUCAUCCUAACAGUGACGCAGUUCUUCUACGUGCUCGCGAUACGCGGGGGAAGGCACGGACCCGUCCACGUGGAGCGCCGCGGCAACUUUGCAUGAAAGACCACCGACAAAUAUUCAUUCAUUUGUGCACGUACCGUCCAUGGAGACCUUCACUAUUAAUUCGUUUGCUGGAUUCGUUAAUUAUUUCAUUAUUGUUUGACAGUUUC
This 620-nucleotide unclassified non-coding RNA is filed under the name Zea mays. Its description in RNAcentral is "misc RNA Zm00001eb118710". The record is from RNAcentral. Lineage: Eukaryota; Viridiplantae; Streptophyta; Magnoliopsida; Poales; Poaceae.